CAGCCAUUUUUCUACACAGAACGCUGCCAUGGCCACUGAGAACUCCGAAAACCCUCCGGCACCGCCUCCGCCAGCUCCCUCUCUCCCGCAGUAUCCAGAGGUACACAAAAGUUUUCCUCCAUUUUCUUUUCUCGCCACCCAAACGGCUUUUCCCCACUUAUUUUCGCUUAAUUUUCAGCUGGAUUUUGCUUAAUUUUUCCUGAUUUUUCUUUCUCCAGAUGAUUAUGGCGGCGAUCGAGGCGCUGAACGACGGCAACGGGUCUAACAAGUCGGCAAUCGCAACGUACAUCGAGUCCACGUACGGCGAUCUACCUCCGGCUCACGCCACACUUCUGGCUCACCACCUCAACAAGAUGAAACAGAGCGGCGAGCUCGUCCUGGUCAAGAACAACUACAUGAAGCCAGACCCGAACGCGCCGCCCAAGAGAGGCAGAGGCCGUCCUCCCAAGCCCAAGGUCCCGCUCCCACCUGGAACCGUUGUCUCGCCUCCCAGGCCACGUGGCAGGCCCCCGAAGCCUAGAGACCCGUUCUCUCCGCAAGCGGAGCCCAAGAGCCCUUCUGGGACUGGAAGGCCACGUGGACGCCCUCCCAAGAAGGCCAAAACGGCAUCGGCUCCUCCUCAGGCUCCAGCUCCGGCUCCGGCUACUGGCGCGCCCAGAGGUAGAGGCAGGCCUCCUAAAGUGAAGCCCGCUGUGGCCCCGGUCGGCUGUUGAGUUUAGCUCAGCUCAGAUAGUGAGAAAGAGGGAGGGAGUGUUAAUUUUUAUUUAAUUUAAUUUAAUUUUAGGUGUGUUUAGAAUUUAGUUUCCGGAUGAUCGAUGGUUUAGUUUUUGUUUUUUUUGUUUUUUUUAUUUUUUUUUAAUGUAGUAUGUGGUUGGUUGGAGCAGUGAGGUUGGGGGUGGUCUUAUCAAAAUGUGACUGUAAUUGCCAUGUAAAUUGUUUAGCGGCUACUUAGGCUUUUCUGCCUUUUGCCUCUCUGGCUACAAAAGGGGGUUAAUUAAAAUGAGGCUGAUUCUGAUUACUUUAUCACUUUUUGGGUU
Molecule: long non-coding RNA, 1037 nt
Filed under: Prunus dulcis (almond)
Lineage: Eukaryota; Viridiplantae; Streptophyta; Magnoliopsida; Rosales; Rosaceae
Description: sRNA ncRNA
Source: RNAcentral